Molecule: ribosomal RNA, 321 nt
Filed under: uncultured eukaryote
Lineage: Eukaryota
Description: partial 18S ribosomal RNA
Rfam family: Eukaryotic small subunit ribosomal RNA
Source: RNAcentral
CCCUUAGAUGUCCUGGGCCGCACGCGCGCUACACUGACAUGUUCAACAAGCCUCCUAGUUCGACAGGAUUUGGGAAAUCUUUGAACGCAUGUCGUGAUAGGGAUAGAUCAUUGCAAUUAUUGAUCUUGAACGAGGAAUUCCUAGUAAACGCGAGUCAUCAGCUCGCAUUGAUUACGUCCCUGCCCUUUGUACACACCGCCCGUCGCACCUACCGUUUGAAUGUUUCGGUGAAGAUUCCGGAUAGGACUUUUUUGAUUUAUUUCAAUUCUGUCUUAAAAGCUAUCUAAACCUCAACAUUUAGAGGAAGGUGAAGUCGUAACA